CUGAUGAUAUAGUUCACGCUAAAUGCACGCUCCACUUUUCAAUUCCAUCACGGGGACCAGGAGCAGUCAGACACACACACACACACACACACAUUUACAAGUGAUGGAAAUGUUUGUUAACAAAAGUGAGUUCAGAUCAGCUGAACCUCUGAUGUGAAAAACACAAUUUGUCAAACAUUCCUUUAAAUAACAUAUUAUGUACCAUUAAUGUCAUGACAGGUUUAUUAACUGUGGACUGUCAGAGACUCACUGUGAAGUCAUGGCCUCAGCUCUGAAGUCCAACCCCUCCCAUCUGAGAGAGCUGGACCUGAGCCUCAACGAUCUGCAGGAUUCAGGAGUGAAGCUGCUGUGUGCUGGACUGCAGAGUAGUCUGUAGACUGGAGACUCUGAAUUUGUGGAGCUGCAGUUUGUCAGAGAUCAGCUGUUCUUCUCUGGCCUCAGCUCUGAAGUCCAACCCCUCCCAUCUGAGAGAUCUGGACCUGGGUGACAACAAGCUGCAGGAUUCAGGAGUGAAGCUGCUGUGUGAUUUUCUGCAGAGUCCAAACUGUAGACUGGAGGCUCUGUUGUGAGUACAGGGUUGGGUUUAGUCCAUCCUGGUCUCUACAGGGUUUCACUAAACACAGUUCAGGAUUCGUACAGUCAUUAAAAACCUUGAAAUGUUUUGGAAUUUGAAAAUACAAUAUUUCCAGUCAAAAAGCA
Long non-coding RNA from Labrus mixtus (cuckoo wrasse), 699 nucleotides. RefSeq lists it as uncharacterized. The record is from RefSeq and is a predicted model, not a curated record. The transcript is spliced from 2 exons. NCBI's taxonomy places the organism in Eukaryota, Metazoa, Chordata, Actinopteri, Labriformes, Labridae.